AUCACUUCUCAGCCAUUUUGGCAAAGAUCAAGAAUAGUAUCUGUUCUUAUCAGUUUAAUAAAAUCCUCUUCAAAAAUCUGAUAAUCCAAUAGCCACACGUUUACACUCUAU
Molecule: small nuclear RNA, 111 nt
Filed under: Erpetoichthys calabaricus (reedfish)
Lineage: Eukaryota; Metazoa; Chordata; Cladistia; Polypteriformes; Polypteridae
Description: U2 spliceosomal RNA (ENSECRG00000022375.1)
Rfam family: U2 spliceosomal RNA
About the family: U2 is a small nuclear RNA (snRNA) component of the spliceosome (involved in pre-mRNA splicing).
Source: Rfam by way of RNAcentral